ACUCCUACGGGGAGGCAGCAGUGGGGAAUAUUGCACAAUGGGCGCAAGCCUGAUGCAGCCAUGCCGCGUGUGUGAAGAAGGCCUUCGGGUUGUAAAGCACUUUCAGUCGUGAGGAAGGUAGUGUAGUUAAUAGCUGCAUUAUUUGACGUUAGCGACAGAAGAAGCACCGGCUAACUCCGUGCCAGCAGCCGCGGUAAUACGGAGGGUGCGAGCGUUAAUCGGAAUUACUGGGCGUAAAGCGCAUGCAGGUGGUUUGUUAAGUCAGAUGUGAAAGCCCGGGGCUCAACCUCGGAAUUGCAUUUGAAACUGGCAGACUAGAGUACUGUAGAGGGGGGUAGAAUUUCAGGUGUAGCGGUGAAAUGCGUAGAGAUCGUGAAGGAAUACCGGUGGCGAAGGCGGCCCCCCUGGACAGAUACUGACACUCGAGAUGCGAAAGCGUGGGGAGCAAACAGGAUUAGAUACCCUGGUA
This 469-nucleotide ribosomal RNA is filed under the name uncultured bacterium. Its description in RNAcentral is "bacterial SSU rRNA". It matches the Rfam family "Bacterial small subunit ribosomal RNA", at positions 335 to 792 of the family's 1533-position model. The record is from RNAcentral.